Molecule: long non-coding RNA, 4728 nt
Organism: Mus musculus (house mouse)
Lineage: Eukaryota; Metazoa; Chordata; Mammalia; Rodentia; Muridae
Product: predicted gene, 41370
Exons: 6
Source: RefSeq, a predicted model, not a curated record
CUGGGGCAAGCUACAACAGUUCUCAUUCUUGGGUCUUUUUAUCUGUCAAGUGGAAGCGAUAAUAGGUCCUUCUGAGCCUGCCAGGUGGACCAAGUAAGUUCAACGCCCAAAUGCAGUGCUUAAGCCAGUGCACAUCACAGGAAAAGCACAUAGCAAGUCAGUCAUCACUAUCCUCACAUCGUCUUCCUCAGCAGGUGUCAUCAGCAUGGUCUCUAUGGCCACUGUCAGCAGAGUAGAUGUGACUAGGUAUAGGCACCUGGUUUCCACAGUCCCCAGUAUCACCAUCUCAUCAGAUAUGAUCAGGUGUGUUCGUGUGCUAUGUCCACGAACUGCACUGAUGUCAUCAUGACAUCUUCAUCCCCAUCAUGAUGACAUCAUCAUCCCCAUGCCUAGCAGCAGCACUAUGCCCUGAACUACAUCACUACCAUCCUUGUUGCUAUCCCCAGCACUGCCAUCAUCACCAUGACAUCAUCGCUGCCAUCAUGGUAACAUCAUCAUCGCUAUCUACAGUAUCACCACCGUCAACACUACCACUACCUCUUCAUGACCACUGUUGUCAACACCAUCAUUAUCAUCUCUCCAUCAACACUAGUCAUCACCAUCCUUGUGACAAUCACCACACUACCAUCACCAUCACCAAGACCCUCUUCCUUACAAGUGUUUCCCUGCCAUGACAUCACUACCAUACCCACUAUCUUCUGAGUGUCACUACCACCACCAUCUUUGUCACCACUAUCAUUACCACUGUGAUCCUCCUCCUCAUUAUCAUCUCUGUUCUCCUCACAAUCACCAUGGUGACCACUGUCACAUUUCUGUCUUUUAUUACAUGCCCUCUCCACCAACUCUGCUUGCUGAAGUCCCUUCUUCUGGCUCACACCAGAAGGGACGCUCUCCCUUUCUUCUCUGGAGUACCAUUUUGCCGAUACAAAUAUGCAUGGUGGUGUUUGGGUCACUGGCAACCUUUCAUAGGUUGUCCCUGAAGGCCCAUAAGAGAGCCCAGGAAGACAACCAGCAUUGUAAACUCACUGUUCCUGAGCUUCCCCGGGAGCUCCAGUGCUCUGCCUUUGAUGGCUGCCUGCUGCCCAGCCAUCUGAGACCAUGUCCAGAGACAAACGUGCUCUACUCUCCUGACACCCAAGAACAGCGCUCAGAGGUGCUCAAGAAAUGGCCAGGGUUUAUUUACUUCCAAGUUAUAAAACUCUUAGAUGAACUAGAUGAACGCAGCGUGGAGUCCCAGGUACCAUGGUCCAACCCCACAGACAGGGUGAGCAGACCAGUAAACAGCAAGGGUUUGCAUCAGAUGUUGAACCUGGGCUCCAGGAAGAACACUUGAGGACUAAGAAGAGGCCCCAACCUCGGGGCACCCUCCACUGAAAAUGGGGCAGGAGCAGGUACCCAGGACUGGAGUGCAGUGAGGAGGCUACGGCGGCUAAACAAGAUCCAGCAUCACCAGGAAAAGGAAGGACCUGGGAGGCAGCUUUAAGGAGCCUGGAGCCAAACUGGCUGAGGUUAAGAUGGUCCACUACCUGCUACCUGUGUGACCUUGAACAAGGGGCUUGACCCUGAGCGCAGCUGCUGUGUCCUGCUAGGAGCAACAUGGAGGAAGAAGGACUGACGAGGACAGCCGGGGACCUCAGGGAAGUAUUUCCACACAGGCAAUGCCUCAGGAUGUUACUAGCUGCCUUAGCAUUGGGAAGCAGAGGGAGGCUGAGCCUGAAGGGAAGUUUCUGGAAGAUUUUUCUGAGGCAGUGUCAGUGAGGGUUUCCCUGGGUGUUGGGCAGGCCUAAAUGGCUGUGUCAACUGGCAAGGCCUGAGCAGACUCCAGGGACCUGACUGAGGCCUUUAGGGGCAGGACCUGGGCAGAGCAACCACCACUUGCUUCAGGCCCAGGAGAUAAAGGAGGUACCAUCUUCAGUGUACAGUCUGCUCUGGAGUCUCCAGUGCUAUUUGAGGGGUGCACUGAUCAAGUCAUAAUAUUGGGGUGCCCAAGAGCCCCUGGACCAGCUUCCACUGUGACCUAACAUCUGGACCUGGCUCCACCUCCACCUGCCACCGGGCUCACCAUCCAUGGCAUCUCUUAACCAGGGAGGGUGGUCCAUCAGAAUUCCGACUGAGCCGAAGGCGGCUUUAUGUCCUGAAUCUCCGUCUUUCUGUUCUAAAGUAACCAUUGGAAUAAUUUUCUUACAGAAUGAUAGUUGCCAUGACAACGAGAGCAAAUUUUCCUUUUCUGAAACAGAUGUCUCAUUUAGUUGAAAAUUAGAAUGUGAGCAAACCCAUGGGAAAAAUUAAUUCAAACUUUAACAGAGCACUGAAUACAACGUAAUCUCUCUGAGGUUAACCCCUUAACAGCUUUUCUGUGUGCGUCUGCUAACCUUCAGAUCAAACCUAAUUAGGCCCGCUUAGCCAAUAUAAAUGACCUCCUCAUGGCCAAUCAUUACAGGGUCCCCAUGAAGCGUGAAGUUGGGUUCCCUGACAGCUGAUGGGGCUACAGACACUCCUCUAUAGCAAGCAGCUGAAAUGGAGCCUGCCUGGCCCUAGUUUCUGCUUCUCCAGAGCAAGCUUUCAGGCCCCAGAGUGGGCAUAUUCCCCAAGGUUCAUCCAGGGUACAGUGACCUUCUAGCUAAACCCAUUUCCUGGGUCUAGAGUGUAGGGCAGUGGAGGCCUGACCCCAAAGUAUUUGCAGGCCAGAGAUCAUGCUUGAGCACUGACCCUAUGGGACACUGAAGGGGCAUCCACAGAGGGGCAGCUCAGGGGCCCCUCACCCACCCAGGGAGAUAUCUGCCAUCAUGGUUCCCACAAGCACAGAAGCUAGGGUGUAGAGCCAUACCUAAGUGACAUAGCCAGAGUACAUCACUUGGGUACCCAGAGUGCUGGUCCAGAGCCAGGCUCUCUCUUCUAACCCAAAACGAUAAAAAUAACCACCCUUCUAUGGUAACACCCUCUGUAUUUAGUUGCUCAGUUAACUCUUGGGAGGAAACUGCUGGGAGCUUCGCAUUCAGGCACUGAAAGUGUUAGCACAGAGAAGGCUAGCAUAUCUGAGCACGCACAGGAGCAAGAAGGGUUUGGGCCAGGAUCCCAGACCCCUGCAACCCGUGUUCAAGCUAAUGGUUGAUGCAAAGAGGCCCCUGGGGGUAGCCAGGCACCAGCUCUCCCUUCCACACAGAAGCUUCUUGUCUGAGUUGCCCCCACAGGCUCCCUGGGAGGAGCCUUCAGCCUGGCUGAUCAGGGAAGAGGCAGCAUCCAUCACAGGUUGCCUGUGUCACCUCCAAAUCCCCCCAUGGCUCCCCCACUGUCUCCAGGAAACAGACACACACACACACACACACACACACACACACACACACAGUCCUGGUGGUUUGGCACACAGGGCCCUUGAACCUACCCCAACUGACUCUCAGACAAUGCAGCCCAGGUUCCCAUGAAGUUCCCCCAACAGGCUGACUGUGCCUGUUCUGCUCUGUAAGCAGCCCAAGCUAGUAGCUACCCCCAGACUUUGUCUCCUGCCACCCCACAUCCAGAGGCGCUAACUUCUCACCAAGGCUCAUGUUCAUAAGGCCCAACUCAAAAGCCAUCUCCUCCAGAAGUGUCCCCUGAUCACCUCUCUCCUCUCGCACAGGUACCCCCCCACCCCACCCCCACCUCGAUGGUCUGUUGUAGGCUUCUCCAGCACAGUGUUCAGAUCUGCCCCUGUGUCUCUUAUGCCUGGCAAGAGGACUGAGCCGGGUGGCCCUCAGGGAAGGUAUGUUCAAGAAGAACGGCGAUGAAAGAUGAAUGCAAACUGGAACAAGCCAGCAGGCACGCUGUCAGGCUGCAGGCAUGAAGAACUUCCGGCCUCACCGGCGACUGCCAUCAUCACCAACACCAGCAGCAGCAGCGUCACUGCCAUCAUCAUCAAUAUCAUCACCAACAUAACCAUCAUCACUAUCAUCUACACCAUUACCAACUUCAUCGUCAUCGUUAUCAUCACCAUCAUAAGCAUCACACCAACAUCAUCAUCACCAUCACCACAGAUCUCCACCAUCACCAUCGCUGUCCUCAGCAGCACUGUUAUAGUCAGUUACCAUUGCCAAGGACACAGUGACCAUCACAAAGCAAGUCUGGACCCGUGGUCACUUCGAGCACCACCCAGCAGGGUGAGUUCAGAGCAAUGGCCCAGUCAGCCACUGUCUCCAAGAGAAUAAGGGUUCCCUGUGCAUUUGUUUUUUAAACAGCUGCUGUCCCCAUACAAGAAAGUGCCCCAUGGGACCGUCUGAUGGUCCCAGAUGCCUUUCCUCAAUUAUGUGGAUCAAUUGUCUUUUCCAACAACCACAUGCCUUUCUGUGGGAGGACAGAAGACAGGCAGAAAGGGAAGAUUCCCUCGUGCUGGAGGCGCGUGUUUGAAAGAAAGCCCUGCAGCUGCAGCCCUCCCCUGCUGAGCUGUGCCAUCUUGGAAGGUCCGUACUCUCUCCCAGCUCCAUUUCUUUAUCGUGAGUUGGAGACAAUACCACCUGCCUGCAUAUGGGGAAACUGAGGCCCAGGGGGUGACAGUAGCCUGCCUGAGGUCAAACAGAUGGUGAGAGUGACAAGACCAAGUCCCAGAUCCUCCUGUUCUCAUUGCACCAGCCCUGAGCCUCAACUUUGGGUCCCAAUGCCCCUGUAGGAGACUGGAGUUGCCACCACCCGCUUGCCUCGCCCUAACAGCUGGUGAAGGUGGGGGCCGAUCACACUCACCACGGGGAGCCGUAGAUC